RNAcentral lists this ribosomal RNA (477 nucleotides) under uncultured Planctomycetota bacterium. Its description in RNAcentral is "bacterial SSU rRNA". It matches the Rfam family "Bacterial small subunit ribosomal RNA", at positions 365 to 832 of the family's 1533-position model. Lineage: Bacteria; Pseudomonadati; Planctomycetota. The record is from RNAcentral.
UUCGCAAUGCCCGAAAGGGUGACGAAGCGACGCCGCGUGUGGGAAGAAGGCCUUCGGGUUGUAAACCACUGUCGGGAGUUAAGAAAUGUAAGGGUGUUAAUAGCGCCUUUACUUGACAAAGGCUCCGGAGGAAGCCACGGCUAACUCUGUGCCAGCAGCCGCGGUAAUACAGAGGCGGCAAGCGUUGUUCGGAAUUAUUGGGCGUAAAGAGCACGUAGGCGGCUUUGCAAGUCAGUUGUGAAAGCCUUCCGCUUAACGGAAGAACAGCAGCUGAUACUACAGAGCUUGAGUACGGGAGGGGAGAGUGGAACUUCUGGUGGAGCGGUGAAAUGCGUAGAUAUCAGAAGGAACGCCGGCGGCGAAAGCGAUUCCCUGGUCCGAAACUGACGCUGAGUGUGCGAAAGCUAGGGGAUCAAACGGGAUUAGAUACCCCGGUAGUCCUAGCCGUAAACGAUGGGCACUAAGUAGAGGGGUUUU